CCUACGGGUGGCUGCAGUGGGGAUUAUUGGACAAUGGGCGAAAGCCUGAUCCAGCCAUGCCGCGUGUGUGAAGAAGGCCUUCGGGUUGUAAAGCACUUUCAGUGGGGAAGAAAGCCUUGGGGCUAAUACCCUCGAGGAAGGACAUCACCCACAGAAGAAGCACCGGCUAACUCCGUGCCAGCAGCCGCGGUAAUACGGAGGGUGCGAGCGUUAAUCGGAAUUACUGGGCGUAAAGCGCGCGUAGGCGGUCUGAUAAGCCGGUUGUGAAAGCCCCGGGCUCAACCUGGGAACGGCAUCCGGAACUGUCAGGCUAGAGUGCAGGAGAGGAAGGUAGAAUUCCCGGUGUAGCGGUGAAAUGCGUAGAGAUCGGGAGGAAUACCAGUGGCGAAGGCGGCCUUCUGGACUGACACUGACGCUGAGGUGCGAAAGCGUGGGUAGCAAACAGGAUUAGAUACCCUAGUAGUC
RNAcentral lists this ribosomal RNA (465 nucleotides) under Vreelandella stevensii. RNAcentral's name for it is "partial 16S ribosomal RNA". It matches the Rfam family "Bacterial small subunit ribosomal RNA", at positions 338 to 795 of the family's 1533-position model. Lineage: Bacteria; Pseudomonadati; Pseudomonadota; Gammaproteobacteria; Oceanospirillales; Halomonadaceae. The record is from RNAcentral.